GACGAACGCUGGCGGCGUGCCUAAUACAUGCAAGUAGAACGCACAGUUUAUACCGUAGCUUGCUACACCAUAGACUGUGAGUUGCGAACGGGUGAGUAACGCGUAGGUAACCUGCCUGGUAGCGGGGGAUAACUAUUGGAAACGAUAGCUAAUACCGCAUAAUAUUAAUUAUUGCAUGAUAAUUAAUUGAAAGGUGCAAUUGCACCACUACCAGAUGGACCUGCGUUGUAUUAGCUAGUAGGUGAGGUAACGGCUCACCUAGGCGACGAUACAUAGCCGACCUGAGAGGGUGAUCGGCCACACUGGGACUGAGACACGGCCCAGACUCCUACGGGAGGCAGCAGUAGGGAAUCUUCGGCAAUGGACGAAAGUCUGACCGAGCAACGCCGCGUGAGUGAAGAAGGUUUUCGGAUCGUAAAGCUCUGUUGUAAGAAAAGAACGGGUGUGAGAGUGGAAAGUUCACACUGUGACGGUAUCUUACCAGAAAGGGACGGCUAACUACGU
Molecule: ribosomal RNA, 504 nt
Filed under: uncultured bacterium
Lineage: Bacteria
Description: partial 16S ribosomal RNA
Rfam family: Bacterial small subunit ribosomal RNA
Source: RNAcentral